CCUACGGGCGGCAGCAGUGGGGAAUAUUGCACAAUGGGCGCAAGCCUGAUGCAGCCAUGCCGCGUGUGUGAAGAAGGCCUUCGGGUUGUAAAGCACUUUCAGCGGGGAGGAAGGCGUUAAGGUUAAUAACCUUGGCGAUUGACGUUACCCGCAGAAGAAGCACCGGCUAACUCCGUGCCAGCAGCCGCGGUAAUACGGAGGGUGCAAGCGUUAAUCGGAAUUACUGGGCGUAAAGCGCACGCAGGCGGUCUGUCAAGUCAGAUGUGAAAUCCCCGGGCUCAACCUGGGAACUGCAUUCGAAACUGGCAGGCUAGAGUCUUGUAGAGGGGGGUAGAAUUCCAGGUGUAGCGGUGAAAUGCGUAGAGAUCUGGAGGAAUACCGGUGGCGAAGGCGGCCCCCUGGACAAAGACUGACGCUCAGGUGCGAAAGCGUGGGGAGCAAACAGGAUUAGAUACCCCGGUAGUC
This 465-nucleotide ribosomal RNA is filed under the name uncultured Klebsiella sp. Its description in RNAcentral is "bacterial SSU rRNA". It matches the Rfam family "Bacterial small subunit ribosomal RNA", at positions 338 to 795 of the family's 1533-position model. Lineage: Bacteria; Pseudomonadati; Pseudomonadota; Gammaproteobacteria; Enterobacterales; Enterobacteriaceae. The record is from RNAcentral.